This is a long non-coding RNA of Mauremys reevesii (Reeves's turtle), 2293 nucleotides long. RefSeq lists it as uncharacterized. The transcript is spliced from 8 exons. The record is from RefSeq and is a predicted model, not a curated record. NCBI's taxonomy places the organism in Eukaryota, Metazoa, Chordata, Testudines, Geoemydidae.
ACAAACAGCCCCAGCUGGUGACUCCAGAUCUGGAGUGUAAUUUGACUCAUUUGAGAGUUUAGAGUCAGCCAGAGCCUUCCCCCUACAGCUCCCCUGGGGGGGAGGGGCAUGAGACAGGUCACUUUGCCCAAAUGACAAGUUGGUGAUGACCCGGGACUCUGUUGUGAUGCAGUGAUUGUUGGGUCAGCCCCCAGGGGCUGCAGCAUUUCACACCAGGCUGUCACCUAGAGCACAUGGCUGCUACCUGUGGGUCUGAGUACAGGGACCAGGGUGAUGGAGCAGGGCCUUUGGGACCAACCUGCUUCCAUUGCUAAAGGGAAUGUGAGACACAGAAGGAUGAAGGAAAGUAUUCUUGUCCAACUGCAAAGUGAUCUCUUAUUUCUGUUGAUUUGAUCACUGCCGCUUGUCUGUCAGAAGUAGUAAGAGAUCCUGUUCAUACCAAGAGGUAAGGAAUGCACCUUCUCCUAGCAAUGGAGUGGAAACUAACCAAUCUCAGUGUACUUUCAGGUGAAGAAAGUGAAUCUAGCCUUUGCUGUCAAAGGCUACAAGCAGUUUCAUAAGAAGAAAGCAAGAUACAUAACCAAAGCUUCUGAGGUUACAGAAGUAUUGACUUGCUCUAGCCAAGAAUAAGGAAAGCACUUAUACCUACUAGAUUAACAGUACAGCUGAUUGUAUGGAGAGAAAGAGAGAAACUAAUCCAGCAAUUCAUCACGCAGAAGGUGGUCAUAUUUCAAGAUGCAAGGAUGACACAUGGCUGUAGUUUACAGGAAGGAAUUAGCUGAUCCAUCCUUUUAAGGAGGUAAGAAAUAUGGGAAUGAUGUAUUGUAAUAGUCAAUGGUUCUGGUCAUCCAUUCAGGUGGAAGGAAGGUAACUGAGGAAAUCUUCAUCUCUCUAAAGAGCACAAGAAAUUGCGGUACUGAAUAAAGCACUAAAAAUGGGAGCUACCUGUUCAGAUGAAAGGAAAGUAAUUGGUAAUUCUAACCAAUGAUGAUGAUCUUUGUUCCUUUUUCCUUCCCAGAGAAGGCCAUUGCUUGUUCCUACAAGGAUGUAACAGGGAAGUUAUUUCAAAGAACAAGUGCAACUAACCAGAGUGUGAUGAUGAGCAUUGAGCCUGUUCUUCCAUUUGCAGAGAGGAGUUGUCCAGCUGAUUCUAUUUGUGCCUAAUUGAUCAUUGUUGCUUAUUUUUCAGAUGUCAAGAAAUAAGCGGAACUGAUCAUUUCUAUCAAGAGGUAAGGAACGCACCUCCUCACAGCAUGGAGGCAGGAAUGAAAGGCUCUGUUUCUAUUUUCAGGUGAAAGGAAGGUCUUACGAUUCAAGGGAGGAUGAGAGGCUGCUGAAUUUAAGAAAAAAAGUCAGACAGGUAACAAUACUUGGCCAGAGGGAAAACCAUCUUUUACUUCUAGUUCAGAAAAAGGCAAGCAGCCAUUUAUAAGCUUCAGGUUUUAACCAGUGUAGCUAGCUGUACCGCUAAGAAUCAAAGCCUUGCAGUGGAACAUGACUGACAAUGAGGUUUUGCUCUUCUGAGAUAUGAAGAGACCAGGUGGUCAUUCCUACCAGGGAGAAGUGAGGCUUAGUGGCAUGGCUGUCCUGGGCAAGAAGACAAAAAAAGCCACUUCAAGUAGUUCAGCUAGUCGCAAAUCUGAAUCAAGUCAGCAGAACAUCACAGACAUGGAGAUGAGAGAAAUGCAGAUGAUUUGAACGUUGAGAGUGUGAAAUCUUCAGGAAGUUGCUAGAAGAUCUGGGAUAUCUACAAAAAGAAAACAAGCAAAACUCAUCACUGCUACCAAGAGGAGGAGAGAGUUACAGAUGCUCAGGAUUUGAGUACAAAGGAAUAGGAAUGGAGCUGAACAGAUUCAACACCAGAAAUGACGAUUGGAUCUCAAAAUAUGAAAGACCCUUCAUUCAAUAAAGCAACAGGAUUGGCUCUGAGGAGAGAUGAAGGAAACGGGCAGCGUGGACAGUAUUCAAGACACAAUGUUCAAAAGUUGCUGCUGGGAUGGAAGCAAAGAAGAAAGCCCUGGAGACGGGUGAGUGCUGGGACACAGACACUAUCCUGGAGGGGCCUGGGACAGGGUGUGUAACCAUAGCGACCAGUGGGUCCUUUCCCCACUGUGGUCCUGGCUCGCAUGCACAGGGGGAAACCGAUCGCCAUGUUUGGGGUCAGGAAGGAAUUUUCCUCCAGGGCAGAUUGGCCAGAGACCCUGGAGGUUUUUCGCCUUCCUCUGGGGCAUCGAGCAGGGACCAGCCCUUAGGGCUAUUUAGGAACAGACAUAAUAAAAUCAAUCAGAGAGAA